UAAGGAGGGUGCAAGCGUUAAUCGGCAUUCCUGGGCGUAAAGCGCACGCAGGCGGUUUGUUAAGUCAGAUGUGAAAUCCCCGGGCUCAACCUGGGAACUGCAUUUGAAACUGGCAAGCUAGAGUCUCGUAGAGGGGGGUAGAAUUCCAGGUGUAGCGGUGAAAUGAGUAGAGAUCUGGAGGAAUACCGGUGGCGAAGGCGGCCCCCUGGACGAAGACUGACGCUCAGGUGCGAAAGCGUGUGGAGCAAACAGG
Molecule: ribosomal RNA, 253 nt
Filed under: uncultured bacterium
Lineage: Bacteria
Description: partial 16S ribosomal RNA
Rfam family: Bacterial small subunit ribosomal RNA
Source: RNAcentral